This 117-nucleotide ribosomal RNA is filed under the name Danio rerio (zebrafish). Lineage: Eukaryota; Metazoa; Chordata; Actinopteri; Cypriniformes; Danionidae. The record is from RNAcentral.
CGCCACAGCCAUAUCACCCUGCAGCCCAAGACCAGUUACUCACUGAAGCUAAGCAGGGCUGAGCCUGGUCAAUACCUGCAUGGGAGACCACUAGGGAACACUAGGUUGCUGUUGGAA